UUCAGCUUUCCCACUCUGUUCUGUGCCCUGGCGGUUGGACAGCUUCAUCAGGCUGCCUCACCUGCUGGUUCUAGAUGGUCCUGGCUGCUCUGGUAAUCUUACAUCAAGUCUGUGGAAUUUUCAGAUGACUAUUCUUCAAAUGAGUAUUCUAAAAUAUUCAGAGAAUGGUUAUCAGAGUCUGUGGCUGCAUUGGAGUUGAAGAUUAUCGUAGGCAAA
Diceros bicornis minor is the source of this 216-nucleotide long non-coding RNA. RefSeq lists it as uncharacterized. NCBI's taxonomy places the organism in Eukaryota, Metazoa, Chordata, Mammalia, Perissodactyla, Rhinocerotidae. The transcript is spliced from 3 exons. The record is from RefSeq and is a predicted model, not a curated record.